ACUCCUACGGGAGGCAGCAGUAGGGAAUCUUCCACAAUGGACGAAAGUCUGAUGGAGCAACGCCGCGUGAGUGAAGAAGGGUUUCGGCUCGUAAAAACUCUGUUGUUAAAGAAGAACAUAUCUGAGAGUAACUGUUCAGGUAUUGACGGUAUUUAACCAGAAAGCCACGGCUAACUACGUGCCAGCAGCCGCGGUAAUACGUAGGUGGCAAGCGUUGUCCGGAUUUAUUGGGCGUAAAGCGAGCGCAGGCGGUUUUUAAGUCUGAUGUGAAAGCCUUCGGCUCAACCGAAGAAGUGCAUCGGAAACUGGGAAACUUGAGUGCAGAAGAGGACAGUGGAACUCCAUGUGUAGCGGUGAAAUGCGUAGAUAUAUGGAAGAACACCAGUGGCGAAGGCGGCUGUCUGGUCUGUAACUGACGCUGAGGCUCGAAAGUAUGGGUAGCAAACAGGAUUAGAUACCCUGGUAGGAUAGCG
RNAcentral lists this ribosomal RNA (473 nucleotides) under uncultured bacterium. Its description in RNAcentral is "bacterial SSU rRNA". It matches the Rfam family "Bacterial small subunit ribosomal RNA", at positions 335 to 802 of the family's 1533-position model. The record is from RNAcentral.